GACAGCAGCCGCCACGGGAAUACGUAGGUGGCAAGCGUUGUCCGGAAUUAUUGGGCGUAAAGGGCUCGCAGGCGGUUUCUUAAGUCUGAUGUGAAAGCCCCCGGCUCAACCGGGGAGGGUCAUUGGAAACUGGGAAACUUGAGUGCAGAAGAGGAGAGUGGAAUUCCACGUGUAGCGGUGAAAUGCGUAGAGAUGUGGAGGAACACCAGUGGCGAAGGCGACUCUCUGGUCUGUAACUGACGCUGAGGAGCGAAAGCGUGGGGAGCGAACAGGAUUAGAUACCCCCGUAGUCCCUGUCUCUUAUAC
This 306-nucleotide ribosomal RNA is filed under the name uncultured bacterium. RNAcentral describes it as "partial 16S ribosomal RNA". It matches the Rfam family "Bacterial small subunit ribosomal RNA", at positions 507 to 807 of the family's 1533-position model. The record is from RNAcentral.